GGCGGUGUAGCUCAAGUGGUAGAGCAGUGGAAUCAUAAUCCACGUGUUCGGGGUUCGAGUCCCUGCACCGCUA
Molecule: transfer RNA, 73 nt
Filed under: Calditrichota bacterium
Lineage: Bacteria; Pseudomonadati; Calditrichota
Description: Calditrichaeota bacterium tRNA-Met
Rfam family: tRNA
About the family: Transfer RNA (tRNA) molecules are approximately 80 nucleotides in length.
Source: RNAcentral